AGGUUAAUGUGAAUGUGAUCUCUAUCAUACUGAACAUGGUGAUAUUUGGUCAUUCAUUGUAACGGCUGUACAGCAGAUGCAGUAGUUUAUCUGCACAUCAUACAACAGAACACAAUUCUGAUAAAGUCAUCCAACCAAACUGCAGCUGAAUAUAAUCUCCAUCUGAUUCCACAAGUAAAAUCCACACAAUAACUCUGUAGUAGUGUGAGAAUGACAGUAAGAUUGGGGAAAUGUGGUAAAGGUGUUUCCAUACUUAGAGGACACUUUGCAUUGGCAGCACAUGCUUCAGUGAUCUGGGAGUGUUUAUAGUGCUGUGACUUUAACACUUCAUGACUGAGAGCUGCUGCUACAGCAACUUCACCCACAGCUACCAUGACUACCAUGAUCCCCGUCUUCAUCUGGACACUGAUCCUCUGGACUCAAGAAUGCAGAGGUCAAGUCACAGUAACUCAGACUCCUGCAGUGAAAUCUGUUCUUCCAGGAGAAACAGUCACCAUCAACUGUAAAACCAGUCAGGCAGUGGCUGGUGGUAACUACUUACACUGGUAUCAGCAGAAACCUGGAGAAGCUCCUAAAUUCUUGAUUAAGCUCGCAAAUCAGAGACAGUCAGAUUUUCCAGCUCGUUUCAGUGGCAGUGGAUCUGGAUCUGAUUUCACUCUGACCAUCAGUGGAGUCCAGACUGAAGAUGCAGGAGAUUACUACUGUCAGAGUUACCAUUCAAUCACUGGCUACUGGUUCACACAGUGUUAUAGAGUCGUACAAAAACCUCCCUCAGUCAGAUUGUAGAGAGACUGAACUGCUGCAGCUGGGAGCGACUGCAGGUGCUGAGUUGGAGGAUGUGAUACGACACAAUGACACUCUGUGGAGGAGA
This is a non-coding RNA of Tachysurus fulvidraco (yellow catfish), 871 nucleotides long. NCBI's taxonomy places the organism in Eukaryota, Metazoa, Chordata, Actinopteri, Siluriformes, Bagridae. The record is from the annotation of a RefSeq genome assembly.